AGUGAACGCUGGCGGUAGGCCUAACACAUGCAAGUCGAACGGCAGCACAGUAAGAGCUUGCUCUUACGGGUGGCGAGUGGCGGACGGGUGAGGAAUACAUCGGAAUCUACUUUUUCGUGGGGGAUAACGUAGGGAAACUUACGCUAAUACCGCAUACGACCUACGGGUGAAAGCAGGGGAUCUUCGGACCUUGCGCGAUUGAAUGAGCCGAUGUCGGAUUAGCUAGUUGGCGGGGUAAAGGCCCACCAAGGCGACGAUCCGUAGCUGGUCUGAGAGGAUGAGCCACCACACCGGAAAUUGAGACCGGUCCAAACCCCCGACGGGAGGCCGAGGGGGGGAAUAUGGGAAAAGGGGCGCAACCCUGAACCACCCAUACCGGGGGGGUAAAGAAGGCUUGGGGUUUGAAAACCCUUUUUGUGGGAAAAAAAAAGCAGCAGGUAAAUACCCCGGUGUUCGGACGGUACCCAAAGAAAAAGCCCCGGCAAAUUUCGU
Molecule: ribosomal RNA, 492 nt
Filed under: uncultured bacterium
Lineage: Bacteria
Description: partial 16S ribosomal RNA
Rfam family: Bacterial small subunit ribosomal RNA
Source: RNAcentral